CCAAGUCCCGACGCACUCCCCCCGGCGCCGGGACUCUCCCCGAGCCGGGCUUCGGCGCCCAUCCCCCCUGGGUGCCGGGCCCGGCUCCACU
This 91-nucleotide non-coding RNA is filed under the name Streptomyces caeruleatus. Its description in RNAcentral is "Streptomyces sp. GIMN4.002 Streptomyces RNA 3202". It matches the Rfam family "Streptomyces RNA 3202". From Rfam's summary of the family: Identified by deep sequencing of transcriptome at the end of exponential growth phase. Appears smaller on northern blot than sequencing transcript. Lineage: Bacteria; Bacillati; Actinomycetota; Actinomycetes; Kitasatosporales; Streptomycetaceae. The record is from Rfam by way of RNAcentral.